UACGUAGGGCGCAAGCGUUAUCCGGAAUUAUUGGGCGUAAAGAGCUCGUAGGCGGUUUGUCGCGUCUGCCGUGAAAGUCCGGGGCUCAACUCCGGAUCUGCGGUGGGUACGGGCAGACUAGAGUGAUGUAGGGGAGACUGGAAUUCCUGGUGUAGCGGUGAAAUGCGCAGAUAUCGAGAGGAACACCUGCGGCGAAGGCGGGUUGCUGGGCUGAUACUGACGCUGAGGCGCGAAAGCUAGGGGAGCGAACGGG
This 253-nucleotide ribosomal RNA is filed under the name uncultured bacterium. RNAcentral's name for it is "partial 16S ribosomal RNA". It matches the Rfam family "Bacterial small subunit ribosomal RNA", at positions 524 to 776 of the family's 1533-position model. The record is from RNAcentral.